CCUUUGCAAAACAUUUUUGGUGUUACAAAUCCGAUAUCCGGAGAUUGUAAUGAAAAGGGAAUAUCGGUGCGAAUCCGAAGCAGUACCCGCUGCUGUAAACUCAGUUAAAGUCUCCGAACCAGACUCAGAGCCACUAUUCGAAAAAGAAUGGGAAGGAUGUUCGGAAGACAGAGUAAGCCAGAAGACCUGCCAGACAUGAUAAGUUUGA
RNAcentral lists this non-coding RNA (208 nucleotides) under Indolivaga macrotermitis. Lineage: Bacteria; Pseudomonadati; Bacteroidota; Bacteroidia; Bacteroidales; Dysgonomonadaceae. The record is from RNAcentral.